This is a long non-coding RNA of Vespa velutina, 2407 nucleotides long. RefSeq lists it as uncharacterized. NCBI's taxonomy places the organism in Eukaryota, Metazoa, Arthropoda, Insecta, Hymenoptera, Vespidae. The record is from RefSeq and is a predicted model, not a curated record. The transcript has 3 exons.
UAAACUCUCUGGUGAUAAACACGAUGUGCAUGCAUCAUUCAAGUAUGCAUAGAUAUAUACAUACGAAGAGCAGAAAAGUUAGCAGUCAUGUAAGAUCGUUUACUGCUAAUUGCGACACGGUGAGAUGAGAAGUGAUGAUUCAGGCUUGUGACGCCAUAGUUAUUCAAACUAAAAACUUUACGUCAAGAACAAUUGGAACAUUUAUAGAACUCCUCUGGAAAUGUUCAAGAAAGAUGAAGUAAUCUUUAGAAACUUAAGACAAUCGUUUCGACCUUAAGAAGAUUUUGUAAUCAAAGAACUGUCAGAAAAUAUAGUCUGGAAGCAGUAAUCAAUUGGUGAUUGUCUAAUGCAGUGACCGAAAGCUAACCUUGAAGAAAAAAAUAUCAAUAACGGCGAAGUUUCGGUGAACAGUGAUAUCCUAUACUUAAGUGAUGCUGAGUGUUUUGUCAUUAAGUAAUGUUACGAUUGGAAUACCGUAUGUGUGCGUGUGACUCGAAAUAAAAGCUAAGUCCCGGGAGAACAAUAUCAGUUUUUUUGUAGUUAGUCUUAAUUCAGCGAUGGACAAUCAUAAUUUACCAAUAGAUAGUUUAAGACUAAAGACUGAUUGAUUCUGCAGUUUUAAUAGCGAAUAGUGUUUCUAAUGCACACAUACACACACACAAUCAUUUAGACGCCUACAAUAAUUAUAUUUCUCUUUUACGACUUUCAGCGUACAUAUACUCAUGUUCGGCAAAUUAUCUAUAAAGGAUGUAAUUGAAGAGCAGUUACAUUACUAAAAGGAUACGCGUGUUAUAAUGUCAAGUAUCCUCGAUAAGGACUAGUCGUUAUUGUCGGUAGUAUAGUGUUCAGAUAGUUGGCUUUUUUGCGUAAAACCAGUUCGCGCCGAUCGACUUACAUGUGCGGCAAUCUUAUACAUCAUAGUAUAGGUAACCUUUAGGAGCAUGGUACUCACACGGCACAUGACGCACGUUUAAGAAAGUUGCGUAUGACUACGGUAUAUCCUUGAACUUGAAACGAAUGCAUUAAAGGUAAUGCAUAUUCUUGGCACAAUGGUAAGAAGAAAAUACGUCACGCGCUGACUUAUCGUUCUACGAAUUGGAUUACAUACUCGAGUAAUAGUUGAAUAACGCUGUAAACAUCAUGGCCCGCUUCAGAUUACAUAUGUAUGAAUAGAAAGAAGUAUUAAAAAAAAAAUUGUUGAUAACUCAUUGACGAUAAUAUUCAUAAUAAAUUUAUGUAUUCUUCAUCGAGGUUACAUUGAUAUUUACAAAGAAUAUAACACUUCGAAGAAAUGUAAAAAUGCUCGCUUUCGCUUUUAAUGGAAACGAUCGUUCUUCCGAGUUUCGCGAUUACGUAAGUCUAAGAGAGACUGAAGUCGGAAAGCGUGACAGUGCGUUCUUGACAACGACAAGGAUAAGGACAACUGUACUCUCGCUGUCGACUCUUCCACACUGAUUCGGUUGCCAAGUAAACGUAUUUCGGUGCGGCACGUAAACGUCAUUAUAAACACAAGACUAUCGGAUAACCGCAAGACAACCACGAGAGUAGAAGUAGCAACGACCGUCGAAAGUUAUCCACAUCGAAAAUUUGAAUCAAUAGAGACAGCAGUAACGAUUUCUUCCACUUCGACGACGCAAACUAGGCUGCAUUAUUGGUCUUAUAGACACAGAGGAGAUGGAUGGCGAAGUGUCCGCAACGUCAGAAAAUCGAAGAUACCGAAUAGGAAACGCGUCGUCGCUCGAGGUAGCUACAGUUUUCAAACAAAUUGUUACUUGUACUUCUUUCAUUUUUUAUCGCUCUCAUUAAAGACAAUAUUCUACUAUAUAAAUCAUAUAACUUUUCUAACAAUUUAAGGUACUUCUUUAUAAAGCAACUAUAUAACUUUUUCUAUCAAAAUUUGAUUUGUAUACUUAUCCAUGUUUCAAUAAUGUUAUAUUGAUAUUAUAUAACAGAAUAAGAUAUAUUAUUUAAAUUAAAGAAUACAUUAUUUAAAUUUUAUAAUUUUAUUAAGAAAAAAUAAUUAAAAUCUGUGCCAAUGCAAAUAUUUGAUCGCAUAAAAAAAGACUUCCCAUGACUUCUGUGAUUCUACCUAUUCAGCUAAUUUGAAAUAAAAAAAAAGCCAAACUAAUUCUUAUAUUGUGGUUAUAGUGACACCGACAUCUGACAAUUCGACUGAUAAUCAACGUCAGCCGAACUCGCAAUCUUUUAAUCAUAUUAAGAAUCACAUGCGUGGUCUCAUUGAUCAAUGCGACCGAUCUUAUCAGUCGAUUCUAGUCGAUGUCGUAUGAUGAUCAAACAGACAAAUUCAAAUCAGUUUGUUUUUUUUAGCCGAUGUAUGAAUUAAUUAAAAAGAUAUCAAAAUGGAUAUUGAGAAAUUGAUAAACUUUGUGCAGGAAAUACAUCCAAA